Molecule: long non-coding RNA, 240 nt
Organism: Sapajus apella (tufted capuchin)
Lineage: Eukaryota; Metazoa; Chordata; Mammalia; Primates; Cebidae
Exons: 3
Source: RefSeq, a predicted model, not a curated record
AAGACACAAAACACAAAUUGCUGUACCGAGUCUGGGAUAACAGUUGAAAUGGUGCGCGCCGAGAUGGUAGUGCUCCUGGAAGCUGGUCUGCACUGUUGUCCACCCAGCUAGACAACAUUUGCGCUGCCAGACGCGACGUAGUCAUGGCUAGGGAUUGUGGUCGUAAAGCCGAAUGGUUGUAAGUUCCAUAGGUCGUAAGUCGAUCAAUACCUGUAUAUUAUUAGCCUGUAAAUGUUCUCC